ACGAACGCUGGCGGCGUGCUUAACACAUGCAAGUCGAACGGAAAGGCCCUGCUUUUGUGGGGUGCUCGAGUGGCGAACGGGUGAGUAACACGUGAGUAACCUGCCCUUGACUUUGGGAUAACUUCAGGAAACUGGGGCUAAUACCGGAUAGGAGCUCCUGCUGCAUGGUGGGGGUUGGAAAGUUUCGGCGGUUGGGGAUGGACUCGCGGCUUAUCAGCUUGUUGGUGGGGUAGUGGCUUACCAAGGCUUUGACGGGUAGCCGGCCUGAGAGGGUGACCGGCCACAUUGGGACUGGGAUACGGCCCAGACUCCUACGGGAGGCAGCAGUGGGGAAUAUUGCACAAUGGGCGGAAGCCUGAUGCAGCAACGCCGCGUGCGGGAUGACGGCCUUCGGGUUGUAAACCGCUUUCGCCUGUGACGAAGCGUGAGUGACGGUAAUGGGUAAAGAAGCACCGGCUAACUACGU
Molecule: ribosomal RNA, 466 nt
Filed under: uncultured bacterium
Lineage: Bacteria
Description: partial 16S ribosomal RNA
Rfam family: Bacterial small subunit ribosomal RNA
Source: RNAcentral